This 705-nucleotide long non-coding RNA is filed under the name Eucalyptus grandis. RNAcentral describes it as "long non-coding RNA (EGRA_LNC000448)". The record is from RNAcentral. Lineage: Eukaryota; Viridiplantae; Streptophyta; Magnoliopsida; Myrtales; Myrtaceae.
UUCGUUUGACUCGCGCCCGGUUGCUCUGCCCUCCGCUUCUUCUCCAAUCGGACGACGGAGCCGCCGUCCGACGAAUCACGCCACCGCCCCCGCUUCCGCAUCCACCUCGUCGGCUACCGCUGAAUCUGAGCUACAGCUAAUAUUUUCUCGUUCGUUCUGCCCCUUCAUCGCGUUGCUCCUCCGGCGAACGACGGAGCCCGCCGUCCGACAAACCACGCCGCCGCACUUACACAUCCGCCUCGUCCGCCACCUCCGCAUCUACAUUCUCCUCCGUCUUCAACGGCGACCGGGCUCUUCCUCUCCCAGUCGCCGUCCUUGUUGCUGAUGUAGGGGAUGCGAGGGAGGCGGAAGCGGCAUAAUCUCUUGCGUGUGUGAAUAGGGGUGCAUGUCUGUGUGCUUGUAUGAAUAUGUUGGGGUGUGCAAUGAGGAAAGAUCAACUGGCUUGUUUUGGGUUUCAUGCGCAACUUUAGUAGGAAAUAGCAGUGUUGUACAAAAAUCCUAGUUUUGCGAACUAGAAUGAUAGUUUGCUAGGUUAUGCUUGCCCAAGUUGAUUCACUGUACUCGGUGAAAGCUAAUUUUCAUCGUUUGAAGAAAUCUCGAGGCCUUAUCCGAUGAUUUCUUGGCAUUUUGUCUCUCUUAUGUCUUCUUUUGCGUGUCCCAGUUAGAUAUUUGGGGUGAUGACGAACCGAAUUCUGACUAGCAAGU